This 651-nucleotide ribosomal RNA is filed under the name Pseudohoeflea suaedae. RNAcentral's name for it is "bacterial SSU rRNA". It matches the Rfam family "Bacterial small subunit ribosomal RNA", at positions 67 to 766 of the family's 1533-position model. Lineage: Bacteria; Pseudomonadati; Pseudomonadota; Alphaproteobacteria; Hyphomicrobiales; Rhizobiaceae. The record is from RNAcentral.
CGGUCCUUCGGGACAGUGGCAGACGGGUGAGUAACGCGUGGGAAUCUACCUAGCUCUACGGAAUAGCUUCGGGAAACUGGAAUUAAUACCGUAUACGCCCUCCGGGGGAAAGAUUUAUCGGAGUUAGAUGAGCCCGCGUUAGAUUAGCUAGUUGGUGGGGUAAUGGCCUACCAAGGCGACGAUCUAUAGCUGGUCUGAGAGGAUGAUCAGCCACACUGGGACUGAGACACGGCCCAGACUCCUACGGGAGGCAGCAGUGGGGAAUAUUGGACAAUGGGCGAAAGCCUGAUCCAGCCAUGCCGCGUGUGUGAUGAAGGCCUUAGGGUUGUAAAGCACUUUCAACGGGGAAGAUAAUGACGGUACCCGUAGAAGAAGCCCCGGCUAACUUCGUGCCAGCAGCCGCGGUAAUACGAAGGGGGCUAGCGUUGUUCGGAAUUACUGGGCGUAAAGCGCGCGUAGGCGGAUUGAUCAGUUAGGGGUGAAAUCCCAAGGCUCAACCUUGGAACUGCCUCUAAUACUGUCAGUCUAGAGUUCUAGAGAGGUGAGUGGAAUUCCGAGUGUAGAGGUGAAAUUCGUAGAUAUUCGGAGGAACACCAGUGGCGAAGGCGGCUCACUGGCUAGAUACUGACGCUGAGGUGCGAAAGUGUGGGG